This is a long non-coding RNA of Panicum virgatum (switchgrass), 635 nucleotides long. RefSeq lists it as uncharacterized. The record is from RefSeq and is a predicted model, not a curated record. Lineage: Eukaryota; Viridiplantae; Streptophyta; Magnoliopsida; Poales; Poaceae. The transcript is spliced from 3 exons.
CGAGGGAGGUGAUGUGCAGCGAGUGUAGUCGCCGCGCCGCCCCGUGCCAAGACAAGGUGAUCCGUGGUGGUGUUGGAUCUCGACUAUUCCGCAGCAGAUCGAGGGGAGUCUCCCAUCUCCGGCAAUGCUGCACGCAAAGGCGCCGGACCUGGGCGAUUUCAGUAACUUCAUCUCACAGCUGCGGCGAGGAGCCUGGAGCAGACACGCGGCCACUAACGCACAGUAGAGGCUUCUCUCUGCACCACACCAGUAGGAAGGGACAGCGACAGGCUGAAGCGCGGAGUCAAAAUGCAGUGGCGACGUUGAGCAGAGGUGCUGCACCACUCAUCGGUAAGGGGCACACAGGGUAGCGGGAGGUGAAGCUCCGCUGACACAUUGAGAAAGAGGCGAUUCGAAGCAAGGACAUGCUUUAAUUCUGUGCAAGGGCUACUCGAGAUCUCCAAAAUGAGUCAGAUCUUUGCAAUGUAUGAGUGGGGCAACUUGAAAGGACCAAAUGACCAGCAAUUUUAGAUCAUGCUACAAAUUGUAGUAUAUUGAAAAAGCUAACAACAUGUGUACAUAGCGUAUGAUGAUGCUCUAGUUAUUUCCCCCUAAAUUUGCAUCACAUCAAUUGAAUUGUAAGCACCAUUUUAUGA